GGAUUCCCCUAGUAACUGCGAGUGAAGCGGGAAGAGCUCAAAUUUAAAAUCUGGCAGUCUUUGGCUGUCCGAGUUGUAUUCUAGAGAAGUGUUUUCCGCGCUAGACCGUGUACAAGUCUCUUGGAACAGAGCGUCAUAGAGGGUGAGAAUCCCGUCUUUGACACGGACUACUAGUGCUUUGUGAUGCGCUCUCAAAGAGUCGAGUUGUUUGGGAAUGCAGCUCAAAAUGGGUGGUAAAUUCCAUCUAAAGCUAAAUAUUGGCGAGAGACCGAUAGCGAACAAGUACCGUGAGGGAAAGAUGAAAAGCACUUUGGAAAGAGAGUUAAACAGUACGUGAAAUUGCUGAAAGGGAAACGCUUGAAGUCAGUCGCGUCUGUCAGAAAUCAGUCUUGCUUUUGCUUGAUGUAUUUUCUGACCGACGGGCCAGCAUCAGUUUGAGCUGUAGGAAAAAGAUGGGAGAAAUGUGGCACCCUCGGGUGUGUUAUAGUCUCUUAUUGUAUACUACAGUUGGGACUGAGGAACUCAGCACGCGCAAGCUGUGCUUAGGAUGCUGGCGUAAUGGCUUUAAACGACCCGUCUUGAAACACGGACCAAGGAGUCUAACAUACCUGCGAGUAUUUGGGUGGUAAACCCGAGUGCGCAAUGAAAGUGAAGUUGGGAUCUCUGUCGUGGAGAGCACCGACGCCCGGACCAGACCUUCUGUGACGGCUCUGCGGUAGAGCAUGUAUGUUGGGACCCGAAAGAUGGUGAACUAUGCCUGAUAGGGUGAAGCCAGAGGAACUCUGGUGGAGCUCGUAGCGAUUCUGACGUGCAAUCGAUCGUCAAAUUUGGGUAUA
Molecule: ribosomal RNA, 836 nt
Filed under: Ceriporia arbuscula
Lineage: Eukaryota; Fungi; Basidiomycota; Agaricomycetes; Polyporales; Irpicaceae
Description: partial 28S ribosomal RNA
Rfam family: Eukaryotic large subunit ribosomal RNA
Source: RNAcentral